CCGGAACCACUAAUGUAUACAAGGCUUAGCUGAGCCAACUUUCUAACCAACAGCAAAGGAAAGUUUGUGGUGUAAUUGCAUUUGCACUCCUGGUGUUAUCAACACAUAUUUUGCGGUUUUGCCCAUGCGGAAGUAUUUCCUGUAAGAUGUUAGCUUGUUCAGGUCUGGUGGAUGCUAUAGUGACAGUCUGAAACUGGACACUGAAAUGAUGGCAGAGGAAAAACCGGAAGUAUGAGGACCAAUGACGAUGACAUUCCAAACUGUUUUCUUGUGUGGUCAUAUCCUUGAUAGGUCUCCGUACAAGUGUACACACCGUCAGACUUUGAACUUUGCAGUGAUGGCGAUGUACUCUACUUUGACUCUGAAGAGCCGCCCAUCGGAAUAGAAUCUCAACUAGCAUCAUCUAGCGCUAAACGAGAUGAGACUUCUUUUUUCGGUAAGAGUCUUAUCUAAUAAUUGUUUAGUCAUUACGUACGCAUAGCUAGUGUGCGUACCAACCCUAGCCUGAUCGGUAUAAUACUAGUAAAUGCUCGGUUAGCAUUGUGUUUGGCGAGCGAUGGUGUUCUAUCUGUACCUAUUGAGUGAUAAUUCGUGUAACAAUGGUUGCGUUACGUGGCAAUAGUUUCUGUCAAACAAACGCGGGAACUAAGGAAACAGACUUUCAGUUGCUCUUCUAUAGUAUUUGGCGUUCAAUUAUCCGAAUUGGGCGUUCAAUUAUCCGAUUCAGGCGUUCAAUUAUCCGUUCCUUACGGCUGUUGUGCAAUA
Long non-coding RNA from Corticium candelabrum, 765 nucleotides. RefSeq lists it as uncharacterized. NCBI's taxonomy places the organism in Eukaryota, Metazoa, Porifera, Homoscleromorpha, Homosclerophorida, Plakinidae. The transcript has 4 exons. The record is from RefSeq and is a predicted model, not a curated record.